GAUGAACGCUAGCUACAGGCUUAACACAUGCAAGUCGAGGGGAAACGACAUCGAAAGCUUGCUUUUGAUGGGCGUCGACCGGCGCACGGGUGAGUAACGCGUAUCCAACCUGCCCAUCACUUGGGAAUAACCUUGCGAAAGUAAGACUAAUACCCAAUGAUAUCCCACGAAGGCAUCGGAAUGGGAUUAAAGAUUUAUCGGUGAUGGAUGGGGAUGCGUCUGAUUAGCUUGUUGGCGGGGUAACGGCCCACCAAGGCAUCGAUCAGUAGGGGUUCUGAGAGGAACGUCCCCCACAUUGGAACUGAGACACGGUCCAAACUCCUACGGGAGGCAGCAGUGCGGAAUAUUGGUGAAUGGGCGAGAGCCUGAACCAGCCAAGUAGCGUGCAGGAAGACGGCCCUAUGGGUUGUAAACUGCUUUUAUAAGGGAAUAAAGUGGGUCACGUGUGACUUUUUGCAUGUACCUUAUGAAUAAGGACCGGCUAAUUCCGUG
RNAcentral lists this ribosomal RNA (492 nucleotides) under uncultured bacterium. RNAcentral's name for it is "partial 16S ribosomal RNA". It matches the Rfam family "Bacterial small subunit ribosomal RNA", at positions 28 to 507 of the family's 1533-position model. The record is from RNAcentral.